ACGCUCGACACCUACGGAGGCAGCAGUGGGGAAUAUUGCACAAUGGGGGAAACCCUGAUGCAGCGACGCCGCGUGAAGGAAGAAGUAUCUCGGUAUGUAAACUUCUAUCAGCAGGGAANAAAAUGACGGUACCUGACUAAGAAGCCCCGGNUAACUACGUGCCAGCAGCCGNGGUAAUCUGAGCGGGCUGGCAAGGC
This 197-nucleotide ribosomal RNA is filed under the name uncultured bacterium. Its description in RNAcentral is "partial 16S ribosomal RNA". It matches the Rfam family "Bacterial small subunit ribosomal RNA", at positions 328 to 539 of the family's 1533-position model. The record is from RNAcentral.